Molecule: ribosomal RNA, 253 nt
Filed under: uncultured bacterium
Lineage: Bacteria
Description: partial 16S ribosomal RNA
Rfam family: Bacterial small subunit ribosomal RNA
Source: RNAcentral
UACGGGGGGGGCAAGCGUUGUUCGGAAUUACUGGGCGUAAAGGGCUCGUAGGCGGCCAACUAAGUCAGACGUGAAAUCCCUCAGCUUAACUGAGGAACUGCGUCUGAUACUGGAUGGCUUGGAUUUGGGAGAGGGAUGCGGAAUUCCAGGUGUAGCGGUGAAAUGCGUAGAUAUCGAGAGGAACACCUGCGGCGAAGGCGGGUUGCUGGGCUGACACUGACGCUGAGGCGCGAAAGCCAGGGGAGCGAACGGG